AUCCAGCUGACGAGUACCAAAUAGGACGAGACGCCCGUCCUGGAU
Schistosoma mansoni is the source of this 45-nucleotide non-coding RNA. The record is from Rfam. Lineage: Eukaryota; Metazoa; Platyhelminthes; Trematoda; Strigeidida; Schistosomatidae.